UUUCAAUUAUUGGGUUGGCCAAGAGUUUGUUCGGGUUUCUCCAUAAGCUGUAUAGAAAAACCUCAAUGAACUCUUUGGCCAACCCAAUAUUUUGCU
MicroRNA precursor from Bos indicus x Bos taurus (hybrid cattle), 96 nucleotides. NCBI's taxonomy places the organism in Eukaryota, Metazoa, Chordata, Mammalia, Artiodactyla, Bovidae. The record is from Ensembl.